Molecule: long non-coding RNA, 909 nt
Organism: Bubalus bubalis (water buffalo)
Lineage: Eukaryota; Metazoa; Chordata; Mammalia; Artiodactyla; Bovidae
Exons: 4
Source: RefSeq, a predicted model, not a curated record
GAAGUUGUUCAGUCGUGUCUGACCCUCAGCGACCCCAUGGACUGCAGCCUUCCAGGCCCCUCCGUCCAUGGGAUUUUCCAGGGAAGAAUAUUGGAGUGGGGUGCCAUUGCCUUCUCCGGAAUGAAGGACUAAUGAAAAUCAAAUGACCAAAGGCAUGAAUAAGCACUUAGAACAGAAAUCAACAGGAUAAAGGUGGGAGACAAGGAAAGGAUCAUGCCCAGUGGAGAAGGGAAUUUCUGGUGGGAGAGAAAUUUGAUAGAUGAUAUAGCUUUUGCUCCUCUCUUGUGCCAGGCCCUGGGAGAGAAGCAUACGGGGAUGCUGUGGGAGCCCUUCUAGGGAAGAAGAGCCAGAAAAGUGCUUUGGAACAUGGGAAGGGAACCACCCAUUGCUCAAGAAGGCGUGUUGGUUCUCCUGGAAUCCCCAACCAGGCUCCUCUCAGAAGGCUUGCUGGGGAAUGUUGGCAAGUGAUCUUGUUAACAGAGGAUAAAUCCAAGCCAUUUUGAGCAGGCAAACAAAGAAGAAAACUGGGAUUAAAAAGAGAAAGAAUGCAAAAAGGAACAAGGCACUUCACAUGGGCAUGUGAAAGGAGAUACCGAGCCUGAUGUGUUUCUAAGAGUUCCAUUGAAGGUUAAGUUGAUACCUGACACCUGAGGUGAACUGUGUUGCUGACAUCUGCAGAAUCAGUUCCUAACCUCAUUACACAAUAGCACCAUGGUUCCCAGCAUGGAGUCUGAUGCCAGACAGCCAAGCCCAGUCCCAGCUGUGCCGCUACUGGUCAUGUAAUUGCAAGCAAGUCAUUUAACCUUUCUGCUCCUUGGUUUGCUCACCUGUAGAUGGAGAUGACAGUAUUACCCAUAUCUGACACCUAGGAAAUAUUCAAUAAAGAUUAACUAACAUACUUAUUCUCAA